GAUGAACGCUAGCGGCAGGCUUAAUACAUGCAAGUCGAGGGGCAGCGGGAGUAGCAAUACUUGCCGGCGACCGGCGCACGGGUGCGUAACACGUAUGUAAUCUGCCCAUCACAGGAGGAUAGCCCGGAGAAAUUCGGAUUAAUACUCCAUAAUAGAAGAUAAAGCAUUUUAUUUUCUUGAAAGUUCCGACGGUGAUGGAUGAACAUGCGACUGAUUAGUUUGUUGGUGAGGUAACGGCUCACCAAGACUACGAUCAGUAGGGGUACUGAGAGGUUAAACCCCCACACUGGUACUGAGACACGGACCAGACUCCUACGGGAGGCAGCAGUGGGGAAUAUUGCACAAUGGGCGAAAGCCUGAUGCAGCGACGCCGCGUGAGGGAUGACGGCCUGGUUGUAACGUACUUCUAGC
Molecule: ribosomal RNA, 411 nt
Filed under: uncultured bacterium
Lineage: Bacteria
Description: bacterial SSU rRNA
Rfam family: Bacterial small subunit ribosomal RNA
Source: RNAcentral